This 400-nucleotide ribosomal RNA is filed under the name uncultured ammonia-oxidizing bacterium. RNAcentral's name for it is "bacterial SSU rRNA". It matches the Rfam family "Bacterial small subunit ribosomal RNA", at positions 239 to 631 of the family's 1533-position model. The record is from RNAcentral.
GAUUAGCUAGUUGGUGAGGUAAAGGCUUACCAAGGCGUCGAUCAGUAGCUGGUCUGAGAGGACGACCAGCCACACUGGGACUGAGACACGGCCCAGACUCCUACGGGAGGCAGCAGUGGGGAAUUUUGGACAAUGGGGGAAACCCUGAUCCAGCCAUGCCGCGUGAGUGAAGAAGGCCUUCGGGUUGUAAAGCUCUUUCAGCCGGAACGAAACGGUCACGGCCAAUACCUGUGACUACUGACGGUACCGGAAGAAGAAGCACCGGCUAACUACGUGCCAGCAGCCGCGGUAAUACGUAGGGUGCGAGCGUUAAUCGGAAUUACUGGGCGUAAAGCGUGCGCAGGCGGUUUUGUAAGUCAGAUGUGAAAUCCCCGGGCUUAACCUGGGAACUGCGUUUGAA